RNAcentral lists this non-coding RNA (31 nucleotides) under Mus musculus (house mouse). The record is from RNAcentral. Lineage: Eukaryota; Metazoa; Chordata; Mammalia; Rodentia; Muridae.
UCAGUUCUCUCUAAAGAUGUAGUUGUCCUGA